AGAGUCUUCGGCCAUUACUUGUUCACUACGGUUAGUCAUGUACCACCAACCUCAGCUACACACCUAUACUAACACCACCGGCCCGACGAUCAAAGCCUCCAUCGUGUGCCUCUGUAGUUCUUGUUGAAAAGAUGUCGACAAUCAGUAGUUCCUGGUUUAUCACUGUGUUGGUUCUGCUACUGUUAGUGAUCCUUCAGAUUAUCAGCGUGCUUGCGCUCGAAGAAAAUGAUGCUCCAAGUCCAGGACCAUGCAAGUGGCUUGAUCCAGAGAACUGUUAAACACAAAUAAAAUGAAAUUGGAAAACUGAGCGCUUGAUCAAGUUUAGUUAGUUAGUUCAUUAUCAUAAUGUCGGUCGAUGCUGAAAACAAUUGUACUACCGGAAAUCAACUGUUGGCAGCUAGUUUGUUUGUUGGAUGUAAUAAACUCAAAGCAUAGCACACGGUAAAAAGGGGCAGUCUAUUCGGAUGGCAAUCCUGUAGUACCUGAGGAAUAUUCCAUUUAUCAUUAUGUUAUCUUUGUUGCAAUUUAACAACCUAGGUUGUGUUUUAGUUC
Long non-coding RNA from Lolium perenne, 552 nucleotides. RefSeq lists it as uncharacterized. NCBI's taxonomy places the organism in Eukaryota, Viridiplantae, Streptophyta, Magnoliopsida, Poales, Poaceae. The record is from RefSeq and is a predicted model, not a curated record.